Molecule: transfer RNA, 73 nt
Filed under: Ovis aries (sheep)
Lineage: Eukaryota; Metazoa; Chordata; Mammalia; Artiodactyla; Bovidae
Rfam family: tRNA
About the family: Transfer RNA (tRNA) molecules are approximately 80 nucleotides in length. Their secondary structure includes four short double-helical elements and three loops (D, anti-codon, and T loops). Further hydrogen bonds mediate the characteristic L-shaped molecular structure. tRNAs have two regions of fundamental functional importance: the anti-codon, which is responsible for specific mRNA codon recognition, and the 3' end, to which the tRNAs corresponding amino acid is attached (by aminoacyl-tRNA synthetases). tRNAs cope with the degeneracy of the genetic code in two manners: having more than one tRNA (with a specific anti-codon) for a particular amino acid; and 'wobble' base-pairing, i.e. permitting non-standard base-pairing at the 3rd anti-codon position.
Source: Rfam by way of RNAcentral
UCCUCGGUGGUUUAGCGGUUAAGACUCUGUGCUCCCAAUACAGGAGGCACAGGUUCAGUCCCUGGUUGAGGAA